This 319-nucleotide ribosomal RNA is filed under the name uncultured bacterium. RNAcentral's name for it is "bacterial SSU rRNA". It matches the Rfam family "Bacterial small subunit ribosomal RNA", at positions 974 to 1312 of the family's 1533-position model. The record is from RNAcentral.
CCAGGAUUAGACUGAAAGAGAAGAUUUCCGAAACGAAAUUGUGCUACAGCGCUCUUUCUCAGGUGGUGCAUGGCUGUCGUCAGCUCGUGUCGUGAGAUGUUGACUUAAGUGUCGCAACGAGCGCAACCCUUGUCCUUAGUUCAUUGUCUAAGGAGACUGCCGAUUAAAAAUCGGAGGAAGGCGAGGACGACGUCAAGUCAUCAUGCCCCUUAUGUCCUGGGCUACACACGUGCUACAAUGGGAAUGACAAAAAGUAGCAAAUUCGCGAGAAUAAGCAAAUCUCUAAACAUUUCCUUAGUUCAGAUUGCAGACUGCAACU